This 278-nucleotide ribosomal RNA is filed under the name uncultured bacterium. Its description in RNAcentral is "partial 16S ribosomal RNA". It matches the Rfam family "Bacterial small subunit ribosomal RNA", at positions 335 to 603 of the family's 1533-position model. The record is from RNAcentral.
ACUCCUACGGGAGGCAGCAGUGGGGAAUAUUGCACAAUGGGGAAACCCGUAGCAUGCAGCCAUGCCGCGUGUGUGAAGAAGGCCUUCGGGUUGUAAAGCACUUUCAGCGAGGAGGAAAGGUUAGUAGUUAAUACCUGCUAGCUGUGACGUUACUCGCAGAAGAAGCACCGGCUAACUCCGUGCCAGCAGCCGCGGUAAUACGGAGGGUGCGAGCGUUAAUCGGAAUUACUGGGCGUAAAGCGUGCGCAGGCGGUUUGUUAAGCGAGAUGUGAAAGCCC